Camelus ferus (Wild Bactrian camel) is the source of this 72-nucleotide transfer RNA. It matches the Rfam family "tRNA". Rfam says of the family: Transfer RNA (tRNA) molecules are approximately 80 nucleotides in length. Their secondary structure includes four short double-helical elements and three loops (D, anti-codon, and T loops). Lineage: Eukaryota; Metazoa; Chordata; Mammalia; Artiodactyla; Camelidae. The record is from Rfam.
GAAGGUCUAGCUCAGUGGUAGAGCGCAUGCUUAGUAUACACAAGGUCCUGGGUUCAAUCCCCAGCACCUCCA